UCAGCCGGUAGACGUUCCAAGAAUUAAUUUUGGCUCCAUGGUUGGGGUAAAGACCCCCUUCCUAAGCUGUUGAUCAUCAUCUGGGCCGUACGACACCUCGCAACAUCUAAGAAAACCAGACGUGUGUAAGGUGCAAUUUUCCUGCGCUGAGAUGCUCGACGGGCCCCACAAUGAUGUUUUCGGAGAAAUCCACCCCGUUCAUUGGAUUCCUAGCGAAAUUUCGGUUGGAAAGGAGUGGUUUUGGUAGAGUUUUGGUGCGGCCCACUGUAUUAACUCAAGCUGCUAUUCAUCCUGCGUUUUACAGCGAUCUGCGUGUGUACGCGUGCAUGAGACCAAAUGGUCACCAUGUCUAGGGUCGUGGCCACCCUUCGGGGCGAAUGGACGGUUUAGAUCGUCCAACAGAACGAUCAUGGUGGCCCACUGAGCACGCCCGGUCAGACAGCAUCUGCCCGCUAGCGGGUUUCCGAUUAAAAAAAAAACAAUCAGUUAGCGUGCGCUGACCGAUCUUAUGAUUUCCGGUGCACGGCUGGUGCGUGCACAUCGUGCACCCGCACCCCCUUAAGUGCGGUCCACUGUGGUGUUUAUGAGAAAUCUGCUUCGUCCAUCCGUUUUGCCCUCCCAUUUAAGGGGUUGAGACUAAAAUUGAAGUAUAUACAGAUAUCAAGUAGGCCCCAGAUCAGUGUUUUAUGGGUUGAUCUGUUCGUUGGGCCACUUUCACAAGGAUCUAAUGGCUGAAAUUCAAAGUGUACAGUUAAUUUAGGGUCCUCAGGCCAGAUAUAAAGUUUCGAGCCAAACGGAUGGUGGGAACCCUAUGAUCUUGCAUUCUGGACAAUUUUCAGGCCCUUUAAACUUCAAUCGCUGAGUUUUCUCGGAUCUUUGACUUGUAAAUUCUUGGAUCUUGAUCCCUUAAGAUCCUUCCCUUACCUUAGUGAUUUCUGAGCGUUGAAUCCAUGCUUUUAGUACCUUUUUCAGUCCAAGCUCCCUAGUUUCACCUUGCAACAAAAACAUGAUUAAACUAGGACAUUAAGCAUUAUCAUGUACGUAAAACCAAGUAAUAACUGGGGUCUAAUAUGCAAUAUUUGACCCUCAACACCAUCAUCGGAGGGGCUACAAUUUGAGCUAUGUUAUGUGCGAGGGUGGCCAAGGCCUCUCGAAGACUUCUGCAUUCUUCCAUUAAUGUUCUCUAUGCUUGGGCCAUUUCGGCUAUGCGGUCUUCGGUAGUCGGUAGUGGGCUUCCUUGACUUGUCCCUACCAUGCAUAUGGCGGCUUUUGCAUUUCCUGACGAAGCAAUCAUUGGAAUGGGGUAUGAGUUCAUUGGUAUGAUAGGGCUUAUUGGGAAAGUAGUUUUAUUUGAUUCUUCUAUACUUCCACAGACUUUAGUCGAUUGUGAUAUGACUUGUAAAAGUGUAUUUUGAGGCAAUAUGGAGGUUGAUGGACUUUUCAUCGGUGAUUUGCCUUUGUCUUUUCUUGUCUAUUGAGUAUUUGCGGUAGGAAGAGCCGGAAAAUCUUGUGAUAUCAUCGAAGGAAAGGAUUUUCCCGGAUACAAUUCUGGAGGAGCAAGUUCGGGGUUCUUUCUGGCUGCAUUUGUGUUAUCGAUCCUUUGAUUUUCUGUGGCGACGGACACAUCCUAGUAGUCAUGAUGUUUCAGAUUCUUGGUCUUUGGCAUGACACGACAAUUGUGCUAGUGGUGAAACAUUUUCGACUCCGGCCGUUGCUUUAGACUUGUCAUUUCUAGUCAACACAAGCUGCUUCUUAUUAGCCAGAGAUUGACCAUGGGCAUAUUCUAUCACAAAUCCCAUUCGCGUAAAACGAAAGAUUGUCUUGCUUGCGAUGGUUGCCAUUGAUUGUAGCUUGAACGUAUGCAUCAUAUUGUAAUUCUAUCAGAGAAAUCAAAACAAUAUCAAUUAGUAUUUAAUUAAGGAUGUACUUUAUUUUGGAGAUGAAAGGGAGGAUGUUCCCGUUGAGAGUCGCCCUUUUGGCGGUCUAUAAGACACCAAACUAUUAUAAUAUUCUGUGUAUUGUUUCUAAGUUAAUAUUAAGUAAGACAUCCCCAACAGAGGCGCCAUUUUGUUUCGACAAGAAACAAAUAGUGUUUGUUUUGGGAAUUAUCUCACUUAAUAAUAACAAAGAAGAAAUGCAGAGAAUAAUCGUCGCAUUUUAUUCAUUAUGGAUUCAUUUACAUCCUUUUAUCCUUUGAUUCCAAGAUAAAGUACUUAUGACAAAAGAAUACAAAUAUUGAUUGAGUUCAAUGUUAAUUUUGGCAGCAUUUCGGCUCAUAUCAUUCGAGUCUCCGUGGGAGAGGAGUUGGACGGAUCUUCCUUCAUUCAUAUGCCUUCAUGAAUAAUAUGAAGAGAUAUCACAAUACCCUGAAGAAAAGCCCUCAAAAUAACAUAUACAUGCCCCCCUUUUUAGAUCAUCCGCAUAACUCCUUAUUGAGUUGCGCGGGCCGAGGAGUCGCACGGUUUUGCCUCAUUGUCUUUCUUUCUCUCCUCUUCGAUACCUGUCAGAGGUAUUGAUCUUCUGAGAAAUCCGAUCCCUCAAAUGAAAGGGGAAGGGGGUAUUUAUAAGCUUUCACAUGUGUGAGGCAUCGAAUCUUGUGCCUUGGGACCCACCUCGCAUUCACUCCAAACGAAUAUGCGAAUAUCAUGUCGAUAAGUUGCGCGGAUUCGCGCAACUGUGAUGAGUUGCACGGAUCCGCGCAACUUGAUUCUAACCACAACUUGUUGCCCUGCACAACUCUUCACCCGCGCAAUUCGAAUUUUCUUCAAUUUCUUCUUUGGUUUCUAUCCUUCUUCACUUCUUUUCUUAAUCAAAUUUCAUGCUCCAACAAUAUUACCAAGAAAGUACGGAAGUUCUUGAUUUCAUAGGUCGUCUCGAUGCAAAGGCUUUUGUCGAUUGGAUUGCAACGUUGGAAGAUUAAUUUGCAUGGUAUGCCAUGGAUGAUGUCCUAUAAGCGGCCUUUGUCAAGGUCAAGUUAAAGGGCCCAGCAAGAAUCUAGUGGCGAAGCAUUGACUAUAACAAUCUCAUCAUGGGUUGUCCUGCUAUCAUCAGGUGGGUUGACAUGUGGGAGAAGCUGGAAAAUAAGUAUUUACCUUUAGAUUACAUGGAUAUUCCUCUCUAGGAGCUUCUUGCGUUCAAACAGGGUAUUUUAUUGGUAGAUGACUACAUCGAAAAGUUCAUUGAGCUUUCUGUCCAUCGUAAGCUUACAGAGAUAGACCACGUAACAACUAACCGCUAUUGUGUAGGGUUACGCUAAGAGAUUCAGCGCGACAUGGUCAUGUAUGAUUUCGAGACAGUUGAUUAUGUUCAUCGGAAGACUCGACGAGUUGAGCAACAAGUGCAUCAACAAACUAUCCGACACUUUGGUUCUCUAGUCGGGGAACCUUCUGUGAGAAAAGGUUUAGAUCCACAUCUCAAUCAAACUCCACCAAAGGGGUACCAACCGCCUCCCCACCCUUUUCAACUGCGCCCACAGAUGCAGACUCCUCUUAUUUGGUAGCCUCAACCUUUACAACGCCAUCCACUACAAAAUUCGUACCAAAAGCAACCAACGGUGCAGGGACAUGACACCAGGGCACGAGGUAUUAAUCUUAAUCCUUCUUUCAGAAGAGAACAAGAGAGUGUUGACUAUUACCGUUGCGGACAGAUAUGUCACUUUUUUAAUCACUGUCUGCAAGCCAGGAACCUCCAUUAUUGCGGUAAUGAGGACACCUACUCAGACGGCCAUGAGUAUUACGAUGAGCACAUCGAGAUAGAACAACCUUAUGUAGAACCUGCAUCACAGCCAGAUGAUCCUCCUACUGAAACUGCGGUUGAAGUUGGGGAUGAAGGCUCUACUCUUAUCAUACGCCGCCUCCUUACUACCACCAAGGAGGAAGAAGAAUACUGGCGGUGGACCACUGUUUUCUAUACGCGGGUAAAAUACCAAGGCAGAUUAUGUACCAUGAUCAUCGAUAGCGACAAUGCAAUGAACAUCGUAUCUCGAGAGGUAACUGAUAAGCUUAAGUUGCCAAUUGAAAGGCAUCCAAAACCAUACAAGGUUGCAUUGGUCGACGACACUACCAUCACCGUGACUCGAAGGUGUUUGCUAUCAUUUAAAAUUGGCAUAUACGAGGAUGAUAUUUGGUGUGACAUAAUUCCGAUGAAUGUCACUCGCAUCCUUCUCGAUUGACCUUGGCUCUUUGAUUGAAAAUUACAAAGCGAUGGUGAAGCUAACACGCAUACUUUCCUAUGGUGGUCCAAAUCCAUAACAAAGGUUUCCAACUAAAACCUUUGGUGAAUCAAAAUGGUAUGGGUCCUUGGGAGUGUAUUUAUGACUUCAUACAACGGCUCUUUGCAGAAGAGCCCAUGACACUGUGAUAGAGACGCCCCAGAAUGAUGAUAUUACCAAGAAAGUAUGGGUUGAAGUUAGUGAUUUCACAGGUCGUCUUGAUGCUAAGGCUUUUGUCGAUUGGAUUACAACAUUGGAAAAUUAAUUUGCAUGGUAUGACAUGGAUGAUUUCCUGCAAGUGGCCUUUGUCAAGGGUGGCCUUUGUCAAGGUCAAGUUGAAGGGCCCAAGAAGAAUUUGGUGGCGAAGCAUUGACUACAACAAUCUCAUCUUGGGUCGUCCUGCUAUCACUAGGUGGGUUGACAUGAGGGAGAAGCUGGAAAGUAAGUAUUUACCUUCAUAUUACAUGGAUAUUCUUCUUUAGGAGCUCGUUGCGUUCAAACAUGGAACUUUAUCGAUAGAUGACUGCACCGAAAAGUUCAUUGAGCUUCCUGAGGAGAGAGGGAGAGCGGUAGUUGCAGAAGAGAGAUUGCAGAGAGGCAGAGAGAGAUUGCAGAGAGGGAGAAAGAGAGACAGAUUGCAAAGCUUAAUGGUGGUUGGUGGGUUGGUGCAUUUCUCCCCCUUCCCCUCGUUUUAAAAAUCCGAUCCUUGUGCCUGUAAGUGACUUACAGGGAAGUGACUUCUCACCCCCAUCCCCCUGUAGUUUUUUGGUAGAUUUGCUUGUAAGUGACUUACAGGCUACAAGUUACUUACAGGUGAAUUUUAUGUCCCAAACACCACCUGUAAGUGACUUCCCUGUAAGUGACUUCCCACUUACCCAACUUAUAGGCAUCCAAACAGGCCUCAAGUCUUAUCUUCAAAAUCCUUCAUCGCGAGCGCUUGUACAUCAACUUUAAAAAGUGUACUUUUAUGAGUACAGCAGUGGUCUUCUUAGGGUAUAUUGUCUCGUCAUAAGGUAGGUGGACCCCGCCAAGGUGAAAGUCAUUGUUGAUUGGCCGACACCUACACCUAUCUCUAAAGUUCGCAGUUUUCAUGGCCUCGCUACUUUUUAUAGACUUUUGGUGCAGAACUCCAGAAACAUCAUGGCUCCGAUCACUGAUUGUAUUAAACAAAGGGAGUUUAGAUGGACAAGUGCAACAAUACGAGCGUUUGAUAGGAUCAAACAUAAGAUGAUUGAAACUCCAGUCUUGCGCCUUCUGGACUUUGAGAAGGUAUUUGAGGUGAGUUGUGAUGCUUCCAACAUCGGCAUUGGUGGGGUUUUCAGUCAAGUGGGCUAUCCAAUAACUUUCUUUAGCGAAAAAUUCUUUGAUGCGAAGCAACAAUACUCUUUUGGCUUUCAGUUUUAUGUUGUUGUUCAUACUUUACGACUUUGGUGUCACUAUUUAGUUGGCAAGGAGUUUAUCCUAUAUUUUGAUGAUGAAGUACUCAUAUACCUAAACUCUCAACAGAAGAUGAAUGCUCAUUGUGUUAAGUGAAGCGCUUACCUUCAGGAGUUUUCUUUUGUCAUUCGUCAUAAGGUUGGAAAGGACAAUCAGGUUGUUGAUACAUAAACCCAUCACGCACAUCUAUUGUCAUCGAUGAUGGUCAUUGUUCCAAGAUUCGAUGAAAUACGGCAUCUGCUAAUGACAAGGAUUUCAGACGUAUUUAUACAAGCGUUUUUAAUG
Magnolia sinica is the source of this 5932-nucleotide long non-coding RNA. RefSeq lists it as uncharacterized. Lineage: Eukaryota; Viridiplantae; Streptophyta; Magnoliopsida; Magnoliales; Magnoliaceae. The record is from RefSeq and is a predicted model, not a curated record. The transcript is spliced from 2 exons.